AACGAACGCUGGCGGCAUGCCUAACACAUGCAAGUCGAACGAGACCUUCGGGUCUAGUGGCGCACGGGUGCGUAACGCGUGGGAACCUGCCCUUAGGUUCGGAAUAACUCCCCGAAAGGGGUGCUAAUACCGGAUAAUGUCUUCGGACCAAAGAUUUAUCGCCUUUGGAUGGGCCCGCGUUGGAUUAGCUAGUUGGUAGGGUAAAAGCCUACCAAGGCGACGAUCCAUAGCUGGUCUGAGAGGAUGAUCAGCCACACUGGGACUGAGACACGGCCCAGACCCCUACGGAGGCAGGAGGGGGGAAUUAUGGGAAAUGGGGCGAAACCCUGAUCCGGCAAUGCCGGGUAAGUGAUGAGGGCUUUGGAGUUGUAAAGCUUUUUUCCCCGGAAGGAAAUGGACGGAACCGGGGAAGAAGACUCCGGUAAACUCGUU
Molecule: ribosomal RNA, 432 nt
Filed under: uncultured bacterium
Lineage: Bacteria
Description: partial 16S ribosomal RNA
Rfam family: Bacterial small subunit ribosomal RNA
Source: RNAcentral